This 136-nucleotide small nucleolar RNA is filed under the name Myotis brandtii (Brandt's bat). Its description in RNAcentral is "Small nucleolar RNA SNORA38". It matches the Rfam family "Small nucleolar RNA SNORA38". From Rfam's summary of the family: ACA38 is a member of the H/ACA class of snoRNA that guide the sites of modification of uridines to pseudouridines. Lineage: Eukaryota; Metazoa; Chordata; Mammalia; Chiroptera; Vespertilionidae. The record is from Rfam by way of RNAcentral.
CCCUCCCUGGCCCCAGUCAUGCACUAGUGGUUCCCUGUCUUUGGACAUGUAAGAAUUGGAGGUAAAGAAAUGUGGACUUGGAGAAGUCUGGAGCCAGCUUGCUCCCUACAGGCUCAAGAUCAACCAUCCCACAUAG